RNAcentral lists this ribosomal RNA (1235 nucleotides) under metagenome. RNAcentral's name for it is "bacterial LSU rRNA". It matches the Rfam family "Bacterial large subunit ribosomal RNA", at positions 1564 to 2808 of the family's 2925-position model. The record is from RNAcentral.
UGAGUACGAGAUGCUACGGCGUCGAAGCAGUCUAUGUCAUACUUCCAAGAAAAGCUUGCACUGUCAUAAACAAAGAAUGCCUGUACCAUAACCGACACAGGUGGGUAGGUAGAGUAUACUAAGGGGCGCGAGAUAACUCUCUCUAAGGAACUCGGCAAAAUGACUCCGUAACUUCGGGAGAAGGAGUGCCUUAUUUUUAAGGUUGCAAUAACAAGAUCCAAGCAACUGUUUACCAAAAACACAGGUCUCCGCUAAGUCGUAAGACGAUGUAUGGGGGCUGACGCCUGCCCAGUGCCAGAAGGUUAAAGAAGUUGGUUAGCAUUCGCGAAGCUGAUAACUGAAGCCCUGGUGAACGGCGGCCGUAACCAUAACGGUCCUAAGGUAGCGAAAUUCCUUGUCGGGUAAGUUCCGACCCGCACGAAAGGCGUAAUGAUUUGGAUACUGUCUCGGAGAGGGGCUCGGUGAAAUAGACUUGUCUGUGAAGAUGCGGACUACCUGCACCUGGACAGAAAGACCCUAUGAAGCUUUACUGUAACUUGAGAUUGAAAUUGGACUUUAUUUGCGCAGUAUAGGUGGGAGGCGUUGAGAAUAAUCUUGCGGGAUUAUGGGAGCCAUCAGUGAGAUACCACUCUUGUAAUGUUAGAUUUCUAACUUUGUAUCAUUAUCUGGUCAAAGAACAGUUUCAGGCGGGCAGUUUGACUGGGGCGGUCGCCUCCCAAAGGGUAACGGAGGCGCACAAAGGUUUCCUCUGAACGGGUAGAAAUCGUAUCUAGAGUGUAAAGGCAUAAGGAAGCUUGACUGUGAGACCUACAAGUCGAGCAGGGACGAAAGUCGGUCUUAGUGAUCUGACGGUGCUGAGUGGAAAGGCCGUCACUCAACGGAUAAAAGUUACUCUAAGGAUAACAGGCUGAUCUCCCCCAAGAGUUCACAUCGACGGGGAGGUUUGGCACCUCGAUGUCGGCUCAUCGCAUCCUGGGGCGGUAGUACGUCCCAAGGGUUGGGCUGUUCGCCCAUGAAAGCGAUACGCGAGCUGGGUUCAGAACGUCGUGAGACAGUUCGGUCCAUAUCCGGUGUAGGCGUUAGAAUAUUGAAAGGAGCCUUCUCUAGUACGAGAGGACCGAGAAGGACAUACCUCUGGUGUACCAGUUAUCGUGCCAACGGUAAACGCUGGGUAGCUAUGUAUGGAGUGGAUAACCGCUGAAAGCAUCUAAGUGGGAAGCCCACCUUAAGAUAAG